RNAcentral lists this ribosomal RNA (460 nucleotides) under uncultured bacterium. Its description in RNAcentral is "partial 16S ribosomal RNA". It matches the Rfam family "Bacterial small subunit ribosomal RNA", at positions 338 to 795 of the family's 1533-position model. The record is from RNAcentral.
CCUACGGGAGGCAGCAGUGAGGAAUAUUGGUCAAUGGACGAGAGUCUGAACCAGCCAAGUAGCGUGAAGGAUGACUGCCCUAUGGGUUGUAAACUUCUUUUAUAUGGGAAUAAAAUGUUCCACGUGUGGGAUUUUGUAUGGACCAUAUGAAUAAGGAUCGGCUAACUCCGUGCCAGCAGCCGCGGUAAUACGGAGGUUCCGAGCGUUAUCCGGAUUUAUUGGGUUUAAAGGGAGCGUAGGUGGAUUGUUAAGUCAGUUGUGAAAGUUUGCGGCUCAACCGUAAAAUUGCAGUUGAAACUGGCAGUCUGGAGUGCAGGAGAGGUAGGCGGAAUUCGUGGUGUAGCGGUGAAAUGCUUAGAUAUUACGAAGAACUCCGAUUGCGAAGGCAGUUCACUGGACUGCAACUGACACUGAGGCUCGAAAGUGUGGGUGUCAAACAGGAUUAGAUACCCGUGUAGUC